RNAcentral lists this ribosomal RNA (459 nucleotides) under uncultured bacterium. RNAcentral's name for it is "partial 16S ribosomal RNA". It matches the Rfam family "Bacterial small subunit ribosomal RNA", at positions 338 to 795 of the family's 1533-position model. The record is from RNAcentral.
CCUACGGGAGGCAGCAGUGAGGAAUAUUGGUCAAUGGGCGCGAGCCUGAACCAGCCAAGUCGCGUGAGGGAAGACGGACCUAUGGAUUGUAAACCUCUUUUGUCGGGGAGUAAAGGUCUCCACGCGUGGCGUUCUGAGUGUACCCGAAGAAUAAGCAUCGGCUAACUCCGUGCCAGCAGCCGCGGUAAUACGGAGGAUGCGAGCGUUAUCCGGAUUUAUUGGGUUUAAAGGGUGCGCAGGCGGACGAUUAAGUCAGCGGUAAAAUUGAGGGGCUCAACCUUUGCGAGCCGUUGAAACUGGUUUUCUUGAGUGAGCGAGAAGUAUGCGGAAUGCGUGGUGUAGCGGUGAAAUGCAUAGAUAUCACGCAGAACUCCGAUUGCGAAGGCAGCAUACCGGCGCUCAACUGACGCUCAUGCACGAAAGUGUGGGUAUCGAACAGGAUUAGAUACCCUAGUAGUC